AAAGUUCCCUUCGGGGGACAAGUAGAGUGGCGCACGGGUGAGUAACACGUAGGUAAUCUACCUUCGGGUGGGGAAUAACAACCGGAAACGGUUGCUAAUACCGCAUAAUGCAGCGGCACCUAAUGGUGACAGUUGUUAAAGCGGGGGAUCGCAAGAUCUCGCGCCUGAAGAGGAGCCUGCGGCGGAUUAGCUAGUUGGUAGGGUAAUGGCCUACCAAGGCGACGAUCCGUAACCGGCCUGAGAGGGCGGUCGGUCACACUGACACUGACAUACGGGUCAGACUCCUACGGGAGGCAGCAGUCGGGAAUUUUGGGCAAUGGGCGAAAGCCUGACCCAGCAACGCCGCGUGAAGGAUGAAAUCCCUCGGGAUGUAAACUUCGCAAGAACGGGAAGAAUAAGUGGAAGUUAAUACCUUCCAUGAUGACGGUACCGUUUGUAAGCUCCGGCUAACUCCGUGCCAGCAGCCGCGGUAAUACGGGGGGAGCAAGCGUUGUUCGGAUUUACUGGGCGUAAAGGGCGCGUAGGCGGCCUCCGCAAGUCAGUUGUGAAAUCUCCGAGCUUAACUCGGAAAGGUCAACUGAUACUGCGGGGCUAGAGUGCGGAAGGGGCAACUGGAAUUCUUGGUGUAGCGGUGAAAUGCGUAGAUAUCAAGAGGAACACCUGCGGCGAAGGCGGGUUGCUGGGCCGACACUGACGCUGAGGCGCGAAAGCUAGGGGAGCGAACGGGAUUAGAUACCCCGGUAGUCCUAGCCUUAAACGAUGAAUGCUUGGUGUCUGGGGUUAUAUAGUCCCCGGGUGCCGUCGCUAACGC
This 811-nucleotide ribosomal RNA is filed under the name uncultured Actinomycetes bacterium. Its description in RNAcentral is "bacterial SSU rRNA". It matches the Rfam family "Bacterial small subunit ribosomal RNA", at positions 70 to 858 of the family's 1533-position model. The record is from RNAcentral. Lineage: Bacteria; Bacillati; Actinomycetota; Actinomycetes.